GGGGCGGUAGCUCAGUUGGUUAGAGCUCCGGACUCAUAAUCCGGUCGUCGUGGGUUCGAGCCCCACCCGCCCCA
RNAcentral lists this transfer RNA (74 nucleotides) under Actinomycetota bacterium. RNAcentral describes it as "Actinobacteria bacterium tRNA-Ile". It matches the Rfam family "tRNA". Rfam says of the family: Transfer RNA (tRNA) molecules are approximately 80 nucleotides in length. The record is from RNAcentral. Lineage: Bacteria; Bacillati; Actinomycetota.